This 565-nucleotide long non-coding RNA is filed under the name Capsicum annuum. RNAcentral describes it as "long non-coding RNA (CANN_LNC018829)". Lineage: Eukaryota; Viridiplantae; Streptophyta; Magnoliopsida; Solanales; Solanaceae. The record is from RNAcentral.
UAUUAAACAGGAGAAAAAAAAUUAAAAAGAAUAAGAAACGCAGGCAAUAAUAACAGCCUCUCAUCAUCAUAGGCUCUCAUCGUCAAUCAUCACAGCCUCUCAUCCGUAAUACAAAGAACACCACUAAUAACAAUAACAACAACUUCAACACCGGCAAAAACCCUUUUCAAGGAUGAUGACAACAAUGAAGAAACAACAAAAGGCUCAGAUCAGUAUAAUCAGGACAAAGGAAAUGUUGGUGAUAUGAUCCAUCGUUCUUCACUCUCCUCUCUCCGACCUAUUUUCCCUCUUAAAUUUUUUCAUUUUUCCGGUGGUGGCAUGUGUGUGGGUCUGUGUGCGUGUUGAUCGUAUUCUGUGUAUGUAGUUUUAUCGGUGAUAUCCGAUUUGUAGCGAUAGAGAUCGUGGUUGCUAUAUCUUCUCCGGUUAAUUACAUAUUUUUAUAAAUAAUAUAAAAAUAAUGUAGAAAUUAAUGUCCUUAUAAACGUGAUAUAAAUAUGGUAUAGAAAUUGGUAGUUCAUAAAGGUUAUAUAUUCUGUAAAUGGUAUAAAAAUAAUGUAGAAAUUGG